AUUGAACGCUGGCGGCAUGCUUUACACAUGCGAAUCGAACGGUAACAGGCCUUCGGGUGCUGACGAGUGGCGAACGGGUUAGUAAUGCAUCGGAACGUGCCCAGAGGUGGGGGAUAACGCAGCGAAAGCUGUGCUAAUACCGCAUGUGAUCUGAGGAUGAAAGCGGGGGACCAAGCAGCAAUGUUUGGCCUCGCGCCUCUGGAGCGGCCGAUGUCAGAUUAGGUAGUUGGUGGGGUAAAGGCCUACCAAGCCGACGAUCUGUAGCUGGUCUGAGAGGACGACCAGCCACACUGGGACUGAGACACGGCCCAGACUCCUACGGGAGGCAGCAGUGGGGAAUUUUGGACAAUGGGCGCAAGCCUGAUCCAGCAAUGCCGCGUGCGGGAAGAAGGCCUUCGGGUUGUAAACCGCUUUUGUACGGAACGAAAAGGCUCUGGCUAAUACCUGGGGCUGAUGACGGUACCGUAAGAAUAAGCACCGGCUAACUACGUG
This 492-nucleotide ribosomal RNA is filed under the name uncultured bacterium. Its description in RNAcentral is "partial 16S ribosomal RNA". It matches the Rfam family "Bacterial small subunit ribosomal RNA", at positions 30 to 507 of the family's 1533-position model. The record is from RNAcentral.